RNAcentral lists this ribosomal RNA (433 nucleotides) under uncultured bacterium. RNAcentral's name for it is "partial 16S ribosomal RNA". It matches the Rfam family "Bacterial small subunit ribosomal RNA", at positions 29 to 507 of the family's 1533-position model. The record is from RNAcentral.
AACGAACGCUGGCGGCAUGCCUAACACAUGCAAGUCGAACGAUGCCUUCGGGCAUAGUGGCGCACGGGUGCGUAACGCGUGGGAAUCUGCCUUUCGGUUCGGAAUAACUCAGGGAAACUUGAGCUAAUACCGGAUAACGUCGCAAGACCAAAGAUUUAUCACCGAAAGAUGAGCCCGCGUAGGAUUAGCUAGUUGGUGAGGUAAAGGCUCACCAAGGCGACGAUCCUUAGCUGGUCUGAGAGGAUGAUCAGCCACACUGGGACUGAGACACGGCCCAGACUCCUACGGGAGGCAGCAGUGGGGGAUAUUGGACAAUGGGCGAAAGCCUGAUCCAGCAAUGCCGCGUGAGUGAUGAAGGCCUUAGGGUUGUAAAGCUCUUUUACCCGGGAAGAUAAUGACGGUACCGGGAGAAUAAGCCCCGGCUAACUCCGUG